GAUGAACGCUGGCGGCGUGCCUAAUACAUGCGAGUCGAGCGAACAGACGAGGAGCUUGCUCCUCUGACGUUAGCGGCGGACGGGUGAGUAACACGUGGAUAACCUACCUAUAAGACUGGGAUAACUUCGGGAAACCGGAGCUAAUACCGGAUAAUAUAUUGAACCGCAUGGUUCAAUAGUGAAAGACGGUUUUGCUGUCACUUAUAGAUGGAUCCGCGCCGCAUUAGCUAGUUGGUAAGGUAACGGCUUACCAAGGCAACGAUGCGUAGCCGACCUGAGAGGGGGGUGGGCCACAAGGGAGAUGAGACGCGGACCAGGCGCCUGCGGGAGGGAGCAGGAGGGAAUCGUCGGCAAUGGGCGAAAGCUUGAAGGAGCAACGCCGCGGGAGUGAUGAAGGGUUUCGGUUCGUAAAACGCUGUUAUUAGGGAAGAACAAAUGUGUAAGUAACAAUGCACGUCUGGACGGUACCUAAGCAGAAAGACAAGGCGAAUUACGG
This 496-nucleotide ribosomal RNA is filed under the name uncultured bacterium. RNAcentral describes it as "partial 16S ribosomal RNA". It matches the Rfam family "Bacterial small subunit ribosomal RNA", at positions 28 to 506 of the family's 1533-position model. The record is from RNAcentral.